Molecule: ribosomal RNA, 151 nt
Filed under: Rosa chinensis
Lineage: Eukaryota; Viridiplantae; Streptophyta; Magnoliopsida; Rosales; Rosaceae
Source: RNAcentral
GGGUGCGAUCAUACUAGCAAUAAUGCACUGGAUCCCAUCAAAACUUUGAAAUUAAGCUUAUUUGGGCAAGAGCAGUAUUAGGAUCACUACUAGAAUUAUGCUCAUAGACAUCACGACAAUUAAAUCGGUGAGAAAUACACGCGAUGUAAAA